Molecule: non-coding RNA, 1267 nt
Organism: Odocoileus virginianus texanus
Lineage: Eukaryota; Metazoa; Chordata; Mammalia; Artiodactyla; Cervidae
Source: RefSeq, a predicted model, not a curated record
AGAAAGCCUGCUGGUAGCAAUGAAGACCCAGCACAGCCAAAUAAAUAGAUACAGUUUAAAAAACAAAAGAAAUGGUUCUGAGAUCAUCAAAAAGCUAUACAACGUUAGUUACUGAAACUACAGAAAAUUCAAGUUUCCGAAACUUUUGCAUUCUGAUCACUACCCACAUUGCAGCAAGGAGAGAAUGUCAGUUGUCUUAAGCCAGUGUUCUGCAGUUUCCUGUCUAGGCACGUUCUGGAUGACAGAACCAGGAAAGGGUUUGGACUCUCUCUUGAUUGGGGGGCCCUGGACUAUUGAGAAAUUUAUAAGAGAAUUUGUUCCCAGGCCAAUCUGGGUGUGGGGAAAGAGCUGGAAUCAGGACCCAGACUUCUUUGGCCAGCUGUUUCAAGCAAGUAAGGAACUUGACAAAAAACUAUGUGAUCCUUAUAAAACAUUUGAUGAUUUGGGAGCCAGUGAGAAGAUGAAGCCCAACAGAUGUGAUUUGGGAUUAGCUGCUGACCUAAUAGCUGCCCAAACAGACUAAGACAAAGGCUGUCUUAGGGAGUAUUACCACACUGAUUCCCUUAAUCUUGAAAACCAGGAAGAAAACAAAUUUGCUGAUACCGUGUUUAAGAGAAAAGGUCAGUUUAAAACUGUUGUCUGUCCAGAUCACUUGCCUCAUCUUUUUCUAAACUAAUUUUUAACAAAUAUCUGGUCUGUUUCAAAGAUAAGCCAUGACCAGAAAGACAUGCAUAAUUAGUGCAACUUCUGGUUAAACAAACUGGAAAUUUGUUUUUAGGCUUCCCUCCCCCAAAACCCUACUAAAAUGAUACUGAAGGAAUAUAAAAGGGCCUAACCCCCACAGGAGUCAGGAGAUAUCAGGAGAGGAGGAAAUUUCAACCAGUUUUUGAAAGACAGAGAUGGAGUAGAGAGAGGCACCUAAAUUAGCCCAGUGGAGGAAGACUGCGUUUUAACUGUCUGCUGACCCCAUGAAGCAGUACUGUGUAAAGUGGGUCAAGAGACACAGGGUGAAAACAGCAGAACAUAAAGAUAGAUCAAAGGCCCGUUCCUCCUCCCCUUAAAGCAAGGUGACUACCAGACCAAGCAGGAAACUGUAGAUUCAGUGUAUAGAAACUAAAUCGUAAAGAUGUUGCUGAUGUCAUGUAGAAUUAGAAACACAAAGAUUAAGAACACGUCUGCCCUGUUGUAUGAUUCAGCAUACUACUAGCUGUAUGCCCAAGAGAAUUAAAAACAUAUGUCCGGGGCUUCCCUGUUGGCUCAGUGGUAA